GAUGAAGAACGUAGUGAAAUGCGAUAAGUAAUGUGAAUUGCAGAAUUCAGUGAACCAUCGAAUCUUUGAACGCACAUUGCGCCCGGCAGUAAUCUGCCGGGCAUGCCUGUCCGAGCGUCAUUUCUACCCUCGAGCGAGUCCAGCAUCUAGGUGCUGGGCCUCGCCCGGCGUUGGAGCACUACGGGAAGCCCUGUGCUGUCCCCCGUAGGCCCCGAAAUGAAGUGGCGGUCCUGCCGCGGCGCCCCCUGCGUAGUAUAACAGCUCGCUUCGGACCCGGUGGAGGCCUGCCGUCAAACCUAUACUCUCUAAGUUUGACCUCGGAUCAGGUAGGGUUACCCGCUGAACUUAAGCAUAUCAAUAAGCGGAGGA
Molecule: unclassified non-coding RNA, 369 nt
Filed under: soil metagenome
Description: partial contains 5.8S ribosomal RNA, internal transcribed spacer 2, and large subunit ribosomal RNA
Rfam family: 5.8S ribosomal RNA (bases 1-120)
Source: RNAcentral